This 228-nucleotide ribosomal RNA is filed under the name uncultured Proteus sp. RNAcentral describes it as "partial 16S ribosomal RNA". It matches the Rfam family "Bacterial small subunit ribosomal RNA", at positions 103 to 334 of the family's 1533-position model. The record is from RNAcentral. Lineage: Bacteria; Pseudomonadati; Pseudomonadota; Gammaproteobacteria; Enterobacterales; Morganellaceae.
CGGGUGAGUAAUGUAUGGGGAUCUGCCCGAUAGAGGGGGAUAACUACUGGAAACGGUGGCUAAUACCGCAUAAUGUCUACGGACCAAAGCAGGGGCUCUUCGGACCUUGCACUAUCGGAUGAACCCAUAUGGGAUUAGCUAGUAGGUGGGGUAAAGGCUCACCUAGGCGACGAUCUCUAGCUGGUCUGAGAGGAUGAUCAGCCACACUGGGACUGAGACACGGCCCAG